RNAcentral lists this ribosomal RNA (503 nucleotides) under uncultured bacterium. RNAcentral's name for it is "partial 16S ribosomal RNA". It matches the Rfam family "Bacterial small subunit ribosomal RNA", at positions 30 to 523 of the family's 1533-position model. The record is from RNAcentral.
AUUGAACGCUGGCGGCAGGCUUAACACAUGCAAGUCGAGCGGGGUGAUGGUGCUUGCACUAUCACUUAGCGGCGGACGGGUGAGUAAUGCUUAGGAAUCUGCCUAUUAGUGGGGGACAACAUCUCGAAAGGGAUGCUAAUACCGCAUACGUCCUACGGGAGAAAGCAGGGGAUCACUUGUGACCUUGCGCUAAUAGAUGAGCCUAAGUCGGAUUAGCUAGUUGGUGUGGUAAAGGCCUACCAAGGCGACGAUCUGGAGCGGGUCUGAGAGGAUGACCCCGCACACUGGGACUGCGCCACAGCCCAGACUCCUACGGGAGACAGCAGUAAGGAAUAUUGGACAAUUGGGGGAACCCUGAUCCAGCCAUGCCGCGUGUGUGAAGAAGGCCUUAUGGUUGUAAAGCACUUUAAGCGAGGAGGAGGCCCUUUUGGUUAAUACCCAAGAUGAGUGGACGUUACUCGCAGAAUAAGCACCGGCUAACUCUGUGCCAGCCGCCGCCGUAA